UUCAACAGGAAGUGGGUGUUCAGCUUGAGUCGGGUGAGCGCUUCAGGGAGCGCAGGAACCGGCAGACAGGGCCGUCCCUUUAGAACAGGAUCCACUUGAUGUUCAAAUUGACAAGUUCCUGGAUCAGAACUAACCUUUAAAUGGUAGCAAUGAAAAAAAAAGAAAAGAGCUCUGUGAAGGUUGAAAUAUGAAAGACAAAGAGGAAGAUGCUGACAUGUUAUUUCCUGCAAACAGACAUUGUGUGGCUGUCCUGGGGACUGGAGGCUGGAGGAAAGAGGCAGAGUUAGAGAGUUAGUGCCAGAAACUUUCUUAAAGAUCUCCUGGGACAAACAUCUUCAUUAUUUUUUAAAUGAAUGAAAACUCUGAACCGGAACUAAAAGAUGUAUUUAAAAUCCUAUUGCUAAUUCAUGGUACAGACAACAUUAAAAUUCAGAUCUGUGGAUUUUUCCCAUCAUUUGUUCAACUAAGUCAUUCUUCUCUUUUUAUAAUUUUGUCUGUAAUUAAAUUGCUUUCCAAACUUAAGCAUUUAUAGGUUGAAUUAUUUGCAGUCUUGCAGCUUUACUUUCUAUGUCUUUA
Molecule: long non-coding RNA, 576 nt
Organism: Odocoileus virginianus texanus
Lineage: Eukaryota; Metazoa; Chordata; Mammalia; Artiodactyla; Cervidae
Source: RefSeq, a predicted model, not a curated record